CCUACGGGAGGCAGCAGUAGGGAAUCUUCCGCANUGGACGAAAGUCUGACGGAGCAACGCCGCGUGAGCGAUGAAGGCCUUCGGGUCGUAAAGCUCUGUUGUCAGGGAAGAACAAGUACUGGAGUAACUGCCGGUACCUUGACGGUACCUGACCAGAAAGCCACGGCUAACUACGUGCCAGCAGCCGCGGUAAUACGUAGGUGGCAAGCGUUGUCCGGAAUUAUUGGGCGUAAAGCGCGCGCAGGCGGUUCCUUAAGUCUGAUGUGAAAGCCCCCGGCUCAACCGGGGAGGGUCAUUGGAAACUGGGGAACUUGAGUGCAGAAGAGGAGAGCGGAAUUCCACGUGUAGCGGUGAAAUGCGUAGAGAUGUGGAGGAACACCAGUGGCGAAGGCGGCUCUCUGGUCUGUAACUGACGCUGAGGCGCGAAAGCGUGGGGAGCGAACAGGAUUANAUACCCUGGUAGUCCACGCCGUAAACGAUGAGUGCUAAGUGUUAGAGGGUUUCCGCCCUUUAGUGCUGCAGCAAACGCAUUAAGCACUCCGCCUGGGGGAGUACGGCCGCAAGGCUGAAACUCAAAUGAAUUGACGGGG
RNAcentral lists this ribosomal RNA (590 nucleotides) under uncultured Bacillus sp. RNAcentral's name for it is "bacterial SSU rRNA". It matches the Rfam family "Bacterial small subunit ribosomal RNA", at positions 338 to 918 of the family's 1533-position model. The record is from RNAcentral. Lineage: Bacteria; Bacillati; Bacillota; Bacilli; Caryophanales; Bacillaceae.